RNAcentral lists this ribosomal RNA (245 nucleotides) under uncultured bacterium. RNAcentral's name for it is "partial 16S ribosomal RNA". It matches the Rfam family "Bacterial small subunit ribosomal RNA", at positions 89 to 334 of the family's 1533-position model. The record is from RNAcentral.
CGUAGAGCGGCGGACGGGUGAGUAACGCGUGGGUAACCUGCCUCAUACAGGGGAGUAACAGUUGGAAACGGCUGCUAAUACCGCAUAAGCGCACAGUACCGCAUGGUACGGUGUGAAAAACUCCGGUGGUAUGAGAUGGACCCGCGUCUGAUUAGGUAGUUGGUGGGGUAACGGCCUACCAAGCCGACGAUCAGUAGCCGACCUGAGAGGGUGACCGGCCACAUUGGGACUGAGACACGGCCCAA